UACGAAACUUCAAUUCGUUUUCCAUCAGUGGCAGAGAGAAUCACAUCAAUGCAAGACCUGAGUGUGACCAGCUCUUGAUGUGGAUUGUACCAGUGUGGACUACUAACCGUGUCCUGAUAACACCGGUACUAUGAAACAGUACAUGUCAAGAGCUGGUCAUCUCGUCUUCGUCAGGAUCUUCAAGUACCAGGCUUCCAUGGGCGACGCUAACCGCUUACCAUCAGGCGAUCCGUCACUGUAACCACCUAGAAGAUGCUAAUAUUAAAAUUAUAGAAUCUAUAAUCGGAUACAAUGGGCAGCCGUCAACGUCCAAUUUGGUGCCAAAAUAGUAUCUUCUUGAAUCCUUAAUCUUAGUUUCUCUUUAGAAAAAUAACAUGGCCUCAUUAUUAUUAUCGUUGUGGCACACAGCAGCUCUUUUUCACCGGCAUCGCUCCCGCCAACAAUACACAAUGGAGAAUAGCUUCCACUGAUAUGCAGAAAAAGAGUUGCAAUAAAUAGACUUACUGUAAUACAACGCAUGCUGACCAAUAUACGUCUGAAGUAGUUGAA
This is a long non-coding RNA of Spodoptera frugiperda (fall armyworm), 549 nucleotides long. RefSeq lists it as uncharacterized. Lineage: Eukaryota; Metazoa; Arthropoda; Insecta; Lepidoptera; Noctuidae. The record is from RefSeq and is a predicted model, not a curated record. The transcript is spliced from 3 exons.